Molecule: ribosomal RNA, 465 nt
Filed under: uncultured bacterium
Lineage: Bacteria
Description: partial 16S ribosomal RNA
Rfam family: Bacterial small subunit ribosomal RNA
Source: RNAcentral
GACGAACGCUGGCGGCGUGCUUAACACAUGCAAGUCGAACGGAUAGCCCCGCUUCCUGGGGCAUCAGUGGCAACCGGGUGCGUAACACUUACGCAACCUGCCCUCACCUCUGGGAUAACUCCAAGAAAUUGAGGCUAGUACCGAUUAUGACCGCUGACCUCAUGCGCUGGUGGUGAAAGGGUUCGUCGGCGUGGGUUGGACCGGCGGCUUAUCCGCUUGUGGGUGGGGUAGUGGCUAACCAAGGCGCCUACGGGUAGCCGGCCUGAGAGGGUGACCGGCCACACUGGGACUGAGACACGGCACAGACUCGUACGGGAGGCAGCAGUGGGGAAUAUUGCGGAAUGGGCGCAAGCCUGACGCAGCGACGCCGCGUGGGGGAUGACGGCCUUCGGGGUGUAAACCUCUUUCAGCAGGGACGAAGCGAAAGUGACGGUACCUGCAGAAGAAGCACCGGCCAACUACGUG